RNAcentral lists this small RNA (876 nucleotides) under Schizosaccharomyces pombe (fission yeast). Its description in RNAcentral is "small heterochromatic RNA precursor". Lineage: Eukaryota; Fungi; Ascomycota; Schizosaccharomycetes; Schizosaccharomycetales; Schizosaccharomycetaceae. The record is from RNAcentral.
UUUUUUUUUUUUUUUUUGUGGAAGAAUCAUAAAUUUCACAAAAAUAAUGUCUCAAUCGCAUACGUAUUGUCUGCUCUGACUUGGCUUGUCUUCUGUAUGUGAUCCAAAUAGACGAGAAUGUCAAUCCAUCAUGUACGACCAAUCACACUUCCUAUAGCUGAAACCGAGUGCAAAUGCUUUUGUAGCAAUCAUGAUCUGUGCCUUUCCAAGUUAGGGGUUCCAAGACUCGUCAAAGUGAAUUUUUCAUUCUUCUUCAUUUAAAUCUCUCGUGUAAAUGGUUAUCAAGAUGUGAUGAGAGAACAAGUCAGGGUGGUCGAAAAGGAUGCUUAAUUAAUGUACGGUGAACGUUUCAUGUUUAUUCAUUGAAUCACCUUUCCAAAGUCUAUUAUUUUGUUUUGAUCAACAUUCGAAAAUUCAAGGGAAAGCUUAAAUCUCUUCUAAGAAUGCAUGCAGAAACAAGAAAAAUGGUUUCCCGCCCAGUAGAUGCUUCUGUGAAUACACAAAAGUUUUGUAUGAAAGGNUAAAGCGGNUGUUUGGCACUGCAUGUAACUACCAAGGAAAAAGUAAUGCUAAGCAAAUUUAAUGAUGCAUAUAUAAUUGGGACAAUUGCNACAUUUUGCAAUGUUUUUGCCAAAGCGAAAUUGUAUCUUUCCGNUUGCGNAUAAAGGAAUGUGNCCUCGNCCAAAUUAUCAUCCAUNCCNAGCUGAANNAAAUACUGNCNAAAGAUUUCAAAAAAUACCGUGGAANCCUUUGGCUUUAUUAAACGAUGNUACUCCNAUAAAAAGAAAAUUCUUUUUUGGGCAUAACANGUUCUNCAANUUCCAAUNCCAAGUACCUGGGNGNANCNNAUGGUUGNAAUUAAUAAAAUCUNAAAAG